AUGGAUAAGCGCAGUCAGAUUCCCGAAGACCCUGUGUGCAGUGGCUGUGAGUCUGUCUUCCUGGAGGAAAGAGGCCCCCAUGAGGGCCAUUUGAAAGACCCUCCCUGUGCUUGGGGAAGGAAUCAAGUGAACUGUUGGACAUUAGACGUAGUCAUUCCAGUCACCACUCGUUGGCUACUCUGGAAUGGUGACAUGCUAUACGAGGGCUGCCUCGCUCUGACUCUGCUGAGGUGUGGAAGCAGCUGUCUCCAAAUCCUUCUGGCCCAGGAAGCAUCUGAAACCCUUCUCCAAUUUCUGCCCCAGGAGAAGCCAGUGAUGAUGGCUUCAGGAUUUGGAUCAAUAAAGCCCUUCACCUGAAUCUUAGGAACUCCCCUGAUGUUCAGCAAUAGGACCCAGGAUGAGAGAAGACAGAUUAGAAUCUAGAUUGGGCCCCAAGACUCAUGGUCUGGUUCUAGAAGAUGUAAGAAAAGCAGGCGUACAAAUAUAUGAAUGCUACAACUUGUGUGUUAUAUGGAUAUGUGUGUGGGAGGGAAGAGGUGUUUAUGUGUGGGUAUGCAUAUAUGUACAUGGGCAUACAUGUGCAAUUUCCUUGGUGAUGGAAUCCUAAUGAAGCUGUCCCCAGCCCCAGUAUUCUAACUUCCUUAUGGGCCUCACUGAAUAGCAGGCAUGCCCUGAGUUAACCACACAAUCUGGCCUUAACCACACCACGGGCCCCCAGAGUCAAUCAUAGGCCUCACUGAACAGCAGGCCCACUGCCCCUAGCUAGCCACUACCCCUGCCCCAACUCAGUAUCCUGCCUUCCUCAUCUAUGCCUCACUGACCCACUAGAAUAGCAGGUGGGUCCAUGUGAUGGGAUCCCAGCCACUGCCUCUAGCUAGCCACUGCCCCCAGACCCAUUCCUCAUGUUUCCCACAGAAACAACAGGUGUGUCCAUGCACUCAACCACAGCCACAUCCAUCUAAUCUCACAUAGGACCACAAUGACCAGCCAGUCAGAAAGCAGCACCAGCAGGAUGCCCGGGCAGGAUGUAGAUCCCCAAACAAUAGAAGGGACUUUUCGUAAGUAAGCACAUGAGCAGUAAUAGUAAAGAACUGACCUAGAGUAAACUUAUGACAUGGAGCUGCUUAUUCGAAUAUCAUUAUCAUACAUAUAUUCCCCCCCACAAUGAGUUUUUCUGUGUGCAUUGUGGGUAAUCACACGCACAGUUCCACCAAGGCUGGGACCCCUCCCUAUUACCUAAUCCCUUAACAAACCUCUCCUGCCUUUUUAAUAUUCAUAAUUUCUGUUGUAUAAUCAGCAUCAUCACGCUAUAAUAUUGCCUGUCUUGUCUUACUAAGCUUCUAGUUCCUCUUGAAACUCAGCCUACUAGAGAGUGUCACCCUCAAUAAAUGCCUUUACUUUUAUUGAAGGUGGUCUGAG
Molecule: long non-coding RNA, 1419 nt
Filed under: Phascolarctos cinereus (koala)
Lineage: Eukaryota; Metazoa; Chordata; Mammalia; Diprotodontia; Phascolarctidae
Description: lncRNA (ENSPCIG00000005850.2)
Source: RNAcentral